This is a long non-coding RNA of Triticum aestivum (bread wheat), 1091 nucleotides long. RefSeq lists it as uncharacterized. The record is from RefSeq and is a predicted model, not a curated record. Lineage: Eukaryota; Viridiplantae; Streptophyta; Magnoliopsida; Poales; Poaceae. The transcript has 5 exons.
CAAAAUCGUACAAUGCGAGGCGACAUAUGUCGACCUAGGCGAUCUUGCUGAGUUUGUGAGGCCUAGUGGUAAAAUCGUCGAAGAAUGUAGUUGCGCGUGGGAUUGACUUCAUGAACAAGCAUGUGGACAUUUGUUCCGACAAGACGAUCAUGCAGUACAACGUGACCUGCAAAAUUUGGGAUGGUGACUUCCACUAUAAAAUCCCGAGGAAGCAUUUUGCCGCACAUGGUGAUUUUAAGCUCACACUGAAGAAAUACGUCAUGUUCCCCAUGUUCCAGGAGCUUGCACCAGAAGACCCAAAUGACAUGUGUGGUCACCACUACUCCAUUUGCCUUGACCUGAAGAACCAACGUUUUUAGGUGUUUGAUUCAAUCCGUUCAGGAGCUGAUGAAGACCUUACUACUCAUGCUGAAUUCUUUAUCAACAACCUGAAAGAGACCUGGAACCGUCAUUACGAAAACUCAAAGGAUCAGAUCAGUCACUUUCCAAUUGAGUACGUCACGACUGAGAAGCAAGAAAAUGAGCAUGAUUGCGGGUUUUACAUGUUGGAAUACCUUGCAAAGUGGGAAGGUCGACGGGUCCCAGUGAUCACAGCUGCAAUGGUUGUCGAGCUCCAGAAAAUGCCAUGUAUGCACAACUAUUGCAGCUGAAUGAAGAUUUCAACAAGCGGGCUUCAGCACAACAAUUUAUAGAGGGAGCUGUCAAAUCCGCAAACAAGAAGUACAAGUGAUUGCGUGAAUCUUCAUACACAUGCCUACCUUACAUUCUGUGGCUGAGGAACGUAAGGUUCUGAAUCGGAAAUGCCCAUGAGAGUACACACCUUGAAGCAUCGGUGACUUGCUCGUGGAAUGCUCCUUCAAUGUGCUCUGAGGUUCUCGCAGUAGAUGUUCCUACGCCGCUGUUGAUUGUAGCUGAAGCUCCUGCAAAAAAUCAGGUACGCGUGUAAGCAGUAUUGCUUGAAUGGCAUAUUCGCCGUAAUGAAAUGAUAGCAGCUGCAUCCGAUUUGUUCAUGGCAACUGCAUCUGAAAUAUGGUACACAACUACAGCUGCAUAAUUUACAUGUAUAAAGUGCUGGAAUGUGCAACUUUGAA